Molecule: microRNA, 23 nt
Filed under: Branchiostoma lanceolatum (amphioxus)
Lineage: Eukaryota; Metazoa; Chordata; Leptocardii; Amphioxiformes; Branchiostomatidae
Description: Bla-Mir-4872-P23_5p (mature (guide))
Source: RNAcentral
AUACGGGGCAGUUAUAGCCAUGU